CACCAUGGAAGUCGGUAACACCCGAAGUCCGUGAGCUAACCCUCGGGAAGCAGCGGCCGAAGGUGGGAUCGAUGACUGGGGUGAAGUCGUAACAAGGUAGCCGUAGCGGAAGCUGUGGCUGGAUCACCUCCUUU
Molecule: ribosomal RNA, 134 nt
Filed under: bacterium
Lineage: Bacteria
Description: partial 16S ribosomal RNA
Rfam family: Bacterial small subunit ribosomal RNA
Source: RNAcentral